AUUGAACGCUGGCGGAAUGCUUUACACAUGCAAGUCGAACGGCAGCACGGACUUCGGUCUGGUGGCGAGUGGCGAACGGGUGAGUAAUGUAUCGGAACGUGCCCAGUCGUGGGGGAUAACGUAGGGAAAGUUACGCUAAUACCGCAUACGAUCUAUGGAUGAAAGCGGGGGAUCGCAAGACCUCGCGCGAUUGGAGCGGCCGAUAUCAGAUUAGGUAGUUGGUGGGGUAAAGGCCCACCAAGCCAACGAUCUGUAGCUGGUCUGAGAGGACGACCCGCGAGACUGGAACUGAGACACGGUCCAGACUCCUACGGGAGGCAGCAGUGGGUAAUUUUGGACAAUGGGCGAAAGCCUGAUCCAGCCAUUCCGCGUGCAGGAUGAAGGCCCUCGGGUUGUAAACUGCCUUUGUACAGAACGAAAAGGUUUCUACUAAUACUAGGAACUCAUGACGGUACUGUAAGAAUAAGCACCGGCUAACUACGUGCCAGCCGCCGCCGUAA
RNAcentral lists this ribosomal RNA (500 nucleotides) under uncultured bacterium. Its description in RNAcentral is "partial 16S ribosomal RNA". It matches the Rfam family "Bacterial small subunit ribosomal RNA", at positions 30 to 523 of the family's 1533-position model. The record is from RNAcentral.